AAAACCAAAAAAAAAAAAAACUGAAAAA
This 28-nucleotide small RNA is filed under the name Arabidopsis thaliana (thale cress). RNAcentral's name for it is "ATSL303870". The record is from RNAcentral. Lineage: Eukaryota; Viridiplantae; Streptophyta; Magnoliopsida; Brassicales; Brassicaceae.